UUUCUAAUUAGGAUUGCUAUUUUUAUUCUUGUCGCCACUAUGACAUUAUUACAACUUAGGAUUGCGACCAUCUCAACCUACCAUUAUCCUCAAAUGAACACUACUUUUUACUGAUCCUGGCUCAUCAUAAGCCUACCAAAGCUCUUACUAAACAGCAUUAACAAAUAUCAAGCUCACUUUAAUGUUGAUUUUGGAUUAUGUGAAGCUAAUUCUAAUGCUCUUACUCACUCGAGCAAUUUUCUUUUAUUAUAGGGGGCAUCUUGCAUAUUCGGGUUCUGCAUUAGGUUGCCCUAAUUUCUUACAAUAUAUAUCUAAUUCGAGGGGGCCCAUUUCUGACUGAUACACCGACGAGAGGUGUGAGAUCUCCAUUUUGUAGCACUUUUUUUUCCUCGAUUAGCGAACACCUAAGAGCACAAAUGGACAUAGCUCUCUCAUUGAACCACUAUAAACCUGUAGUUUGCUUUGUGUUUUUCUGAUUUCUGCUUGCUUAUUAUUGCCCUCGGAAUUAAGGGUUAGGACCUAAUACAUAAGAGUGGAGUCGGAGCUGCGUCACACGUUCUAGACUCACAUGUAAUUGUAGGGAGUGUGGAGACUAUAUGACACUUCUAAUCACAAGUGCAAUGCCUAUUACAAUUAACAGUGCCAUGGUAAUCGGGACACAAUGAAUUGGAUGGUAUAAAUAUUGGAUAAUUGCUAAUAUCCUAGGAGUAAUGCUGUUGUUGAUUGACAUGAGAGUACCAUCUUGGUGUAAAUUAACAAUGAGAAGAUUUUGUUUAUAUUUUUUUACCAUUUAAGUAUCCUGUUCUCCGACUUGUGAUGUUAAAUAUGACUUGCUUGAUGCAGAUGAAUUUCGUAUACUUGUACGAUUUGGUUGUCUGCUUGUUGCAUGCAUUUAUCCCUGUGAUUAUUUUGAUAGGUAUGAAGCUUUCGAGCCUUCCUGGUUUAUGNN
Molecule: long non-coding RNA, 949 nt
Filed under: Olea europaea (common olive)
Lineage: Eukaryota; Viridiplantae; Streptophyta; Magnoliopsida; Lamiales; Oleaceae
Description: long non-coding RNA (OEUR_LNC014775)
Source: RNAcentral